UGCCAGACUCCUACGGGAGGCAGCAGUGGGGGAUAUUGCACAAUGGAGGAAACUCUGAUGCAGCGACGCCGCGUGAGGGAAGACGGUCUUCGGAUUGUAAACCUCUGUCUUUGGGGAAGAAAAUGACGGUACCCAAAGAGGAAGCUCCGGCUAACUACGUGCCAGCAGCCGCGGUAAUACGUAGGGAGCGAGCGUUGUCCGGAAUUACUGGGUGUAAAGGGAGCGUAGGCGGGCGAGAAAGUUGAAUGUUAAAUCUACCGGCUUAACUGGUAGCUGCGUUCAAAACUUCUUGUCUUGAGUGAAGUAGAGGCAGGCGGAAUUCCUAGUGUAGCGGUGAAAUGCGUAGAUAUCACGAAGAACUCCGAUUGCGAAGGCAGCCUACUAAACUGCCACUGACAUUGAUGCUCGAAAGUGUGGGUAUCAAACAGGAUUAGAUACCCUCGUA
Molecule: ribosomal RNA, 445 nt
Filed under: uncultured bacterium
Lineage: Bacteria
Description: bacterial SSU rRNA
Rfam family: Bacterial small subunit ribosomal RNA
Source: RNAcentral